Non-coding RNA from Pseudonaja textilis, 421 nucleotides. Lineage: Eukaryota; Metazoa; Chordata; Lepidosauria; Squamata; Elapidae. The record is from the annotation of a RefSeq genome assembly.
AUCCAGGUGCUUUAGAGAAGGGAUUGGCCCACUGAGUUCUCCCACCAUGUCCCAGGCACUUCUUCUCUUCACAUCUCUUCUUCUGAUCUCUGCUGAUCCCAGCCUUCAACAACUGCAGACCCUGAAGGACCUAGAAUUUGUGGCACCUGGCGGGACAGUCAUCAUAUCUUGCCGAUAUGAUGGUGGAAAUCUCGGGGAUGGCCACGACUUUUCAUGGUCCCAGCAGAUUCCUGGGCAACAACCUGAAGGAUUGAUCUAUCACACCAGUUCCAGACUAUCGGGGGUUCCAGAACGUUUCUCUGGAUCCAGAUCAGAGAAUAUGAUGUCCUUGACUAUCACUGGGGCUCUACGUGAAGAUGAAGCCACCUAUUAUUGCUCCAUCUGGAUGAAUAAUGAGUUCCACAGCAAUUCAUUCAGGUGA